GGGGUCGAUUUGGUUUUGACAGCAAGACCAAUUGAAUAGUAAGCACGUCGAGCGCUGGGAUAUAGCUCGUAAAUCUCAUAUUUCACACUUUUUUAAACGGCGAUAAUAACUACGCCAUGGCUGCGUAACCCGAAGUUUAGUACGGUAUGCUUAGCCGCUACAAGGUAGUGGGCCAUGAUGUCUCUAGAAAGCCUUGAUUUGCGGCGUUCCAUACAGAGGCACCGAUAAAGUAAAUCUAGGAAAAGUAGGGCUUUGAUGCUUUUUUGAAAUUGAUUGAGGCUAAGUUUUGGGUAGGUUGUUUUUAGCCAGCUCAAAAUCGAAAAUUUAAGUAAAAACUAAACGUGUAGAAGGCUGUUGAAUUGCUUGUUUGGACGGGAGUUCGAGUCUCCCCGACUCCACAU
This 401-nucleotide transfer-messenger RNA is filed under the name Psychroflexus maritimus. Its description in RNAcentral is "Standard tmRNA". It matches the Rfam family "transfer-messenger RNA". Rfam says of the family: Bacterial tmRNA, also known as 10Sa RNA or SsrA, is named for its dual tRNA and mRNA-like properties. Its role is to liberate the mRNA from a stalled ribosome. To accomplish this part of the tmRNA is used as a reading frame that ends in a translation stop signal. Lineage: Bacteria; Pseudomonadati; Bacteroidota; Flavobacteriia; Flavobacteriales; Flavobacteriaceae. The record is from Rfam by way of RNAcentral.